UACGUAGGUGGCAAGCGAUACUCGGAAUUACUGGGCGUAAAGCGUGCGCAGGCGGUUCUCCAAGUCCGUUGUGAAAGCCCCGGGCUCAACCUGGGAAUGGCAGUGGAAACUAGGGGACUGGAAUCUGGCAGAGGGGGGUGGAAUGCCGCGUGUAGCAGUGAAAUGCGUAGAGAUGCGGCGGAACACCGAUGGCGAAGGCAGCCCCCUGGGCUGAGAUUGACGCUCAGGCACGAAAGCGUGGGGAGCAAACAGG
Molecule: ribosomal RNA, 253 nt
Filed under: uncultured bacterium
Lineage: Bacteria
Description: partial 16S ribosomal RNA
Rfam family: Bacterial small subunit ribosomal RNA
Source: RNAcentral